AAUGUGCCAUAGGGGUUCGUAGCUGUCGAGUUUUUUGCAUCUCUGCUUUUUAGCUCCUUGGGAUCUAUGUGGAAAUGGUUCACUGUGGUUGGUCUUUUUUAUGUUCUAUUGCUUAUGACUACUUUUUAGUAUUUAUUUAAAAAAAUUGUAUAUGACCCUUCAUCUGAAGAUAUUGGGCAGUUCACAGCACAAAACCACAGAACAAAACCACAAAAUACAGAAAACAAGAACAAAAUAAAAACAAAAAUCCCCCCUUCCCACAAGCACAUUUAAAAGGAAACAGAAUGUUUAAUUACCCAAAGUCAUGAUUGUUAUGUUGUCGUCAUUCAAACCCCUUUCAAACUCCCAGCCAAUCACCUCUCACCCCCAGCAUUCCAAACUCCCCCUCCCUAGCCAACUUUACCAUGAAUCUUCUAGUAUACUGUACUUACUUCUGUUACGUUAAUUAUUUUGCUAUAGGUGUAUAUAACUUUAAAUUCAAACACCAGAACAUCACAACUGAGCUUUAAGGAAACACACAUGCACAUGAAAUUUCUGAGAGUCUCACUAGAGAACAAGUGUGGCAUAGUGGUUAAAGGCUCAGAUCUGGGAGACCUGGAUUCAAAUCACUCCUUAGCUGGGUGACCCUGGGGACCAGGCACUGCAUCACAGCCUAACCAACCUCACAGGAUUAUUGUCCGUGUUAAAUCAGGAGGGCAAGAGCCAUGUGACACCACCGGGAGCUCCCUGGAGAAAAAGGUAGCCUUUAAACGCCAUAAAGGAAUUUCAGUAAGGACAAAUGUCAGGUUCUGCAUAAAGGCAGGUAUAAUCAGCAAAUAUAUAAGAUGGGGGACAUCUGGAUUCCCAGGAGUACAUGUGAAAACAAUCCAGGAGUGUUAGCAGAACUAAAGCUAAACAUGAGUCAAAAGUGUGACGCAGCAGCAAAGAGAGCUAAUGCUAUCCAAGGGCGCAUCAACAGAAGCCGAGUGUCCAGAUAAAGGGAAGCCACAGUACUGUUAUCUUCUUCCUUGGUCAGACCACGUCUGGAGUGCUGUGUCUUGUUUUGGGUGUCACAAUUUGAAUAGGAUACUGACAAGCUGGA
Molecule: long non-coding RNA, 1081 nt
Organism: Podarcis raffonei (Aeolian wall lizard)
Lineage: Eukaryota; Metazoa; Chordata; Lepidosauria; Squamata; Lacertidae
Exons: 2
Source: RefSeq, a predicted model, not a curated record